CUGGUUGAUAGGUCGAAGGUGUAAGUGCAGUAAUGUAUUUAGCUUAUCGAUACUAAUAGGUCGAGGACUUGACCAA
This 76-nucleotide ribosomal RNA is filed under the name Romboutsia timonensis. RNAcentral's name for it is "partial 23S ribosomal RNA". It matches the Rfam family "Bacterial large subunit ribosomal RNA", at positions 2849 to 2925 of the family's 2925-position model. Lineage: Bacteria; Bacillati; Bacillota; Clostridia; Peptostreptococcales; Peptostreptococcaceae. RNAcentral also lists the same sequence under 1 other name. The record is from RNAcentral.